Non-coding RNA from Schistosoma rodhaini, 45 nucleotides. The record is from Rfam. NCBI's taxonomy places the organism in Eukaryota, Metazoa, Platyhelminthes, Trematoda, Strigeidida, Schistosomatidae.
AUUCAGCUAACGAGUCCUGAACAGGACGAAACGCGCGUCCUGGAU